Parelaphostrongylus tenuis is the source of this 71-nucleotide non-coding RNA. The record is from the annotation of a GenBank genome assembly. Lineage: Eukaryota; Metazoa; Nematoda; Chromadorea; Rhabditida; Metastrongylidae.
GCCUCGGUGGUUAAUUGGUAGCACGCAUCCGCGCUAUGGAUGAAACGCGGGUUCAACUCCCGCCUGAGGUC